RNAcentral lists this ribosomal RNA (186 nucleotides) under uncultured eukaryote. RNAcentral describes it as "partial small subunit ribosomal RNA". It matches the Rfam family "Eukaryotic small subunit ribosomal RNA", at positions 1473 to 1661 of the family's 1831-position model. The record is from RNAcentral.
UUAGAUGUUCUGGGCCGCACGCGCGCUACACUGAUGCAUUCAACGAGCCUAUCCUUGGCCGACAGGUCCGGGUAAUCUUUGAAUCUGCAUCGUGACGGGGAUAGAUUAUUGCAAUUAUUAAUCUUCAACGAGGAAUGCCUAGUAGGCGCAAGUCAUCAGCUUGCGUCGAUUACGUCCCUGCCCUUU